Molecule: ribosomal RNA, 406 nt
Filed under: uncultured bacterium
Lineage: Bacteria
Description: partial 16S ribosomal RNA
Rfam family: Bacterial small subunit ribosomal RNA
Source: RNAcentral
AUUGAACGCUGGCGGCAGGCCUAACACAUGCAAGUCGAACGAGUGGCGGACGGGUGAGUAGUGUCUGGGAAACUGCCCGAUGGAGGGGGAUAACUACUGGAAACGGGAGCUAAUACCGCAUACCAUCGAAUGUGCCCAGCUGGGAUGAGCUAGUAGUUGGGGUAACGGCUCACCUAGGCGACGAUCCCUAGCUGGUCUGAGAGGAUGACCAUCCACACUGGAAGUGAGACACGGUCCAGACUCCUACGGGAGGCAGCAGUGGGGAAUAUUGGACAAUGGGCGCAAGCCUGAUGCAGCCAUGCCGCGUGUAGGACGAAGGCCUUCGGGUUGUAAAGUACUUGCAGAUAGGAGGCGUUACUCGCAGAAGAAGCACCGGCUAACUCCGUGACAGCAGCCGCGGUAAUUC